This is a long non-coding RNA of Myotis brandtii (Brandt's bat), 2644 nucleotides long. RefSeq lists it as uncharacterized. The record is from RefSeq and is a predicted model, not a curated record. The transcript has 2 exons. Lineage: Eukaryota; Metazoa; Chordata; Mammalia; Chiroptera; Vespertilionidae.
UGCACUUUUAUGGUAUUAUUUUGUUGAUUUAUUUAUUGUCUAUCUCCUCACCUGCAUAUAAACUCCCUGAUGAUCUUGUAUGUCUUACUAAUCUGUGCUUAAUUAUAAAACCUUUUUUUUCUUUAAAGUGGGCCACUAUCCCUCAGUAUUGAAGAUGAUUGACUAGAGUAGCACAAGGACAAUGCUUAGCACCACACCAGACUCAUAAUAGAUGCUCAAUAAAUGGUAAUUUCAUCCUCUGUUCUCACCUCCACCUUACCCUUCCCCACCACACAAAAAGUUAAUAAAAGUACUGUUGCAUAAAGAGCAUCUCAAGGUCAGUAGAAACUUGACCUGAGGCUUGCAAGUGUAAUUAUAAGCCACAAACCCCAGACUGAAUUAACAUAAGAAAAGGUUUCUUUAAUGAGUGGUUGGUGAAAUUAUAAGUGACUGGAGGCUAAACAAUGAUCCUGACCAGAUUAUGCACAGAAAAUGAUGCCACAUCUAAAGAGAUGCUAUACUUUUUUAUUCGUGGCUGUAAAGUGUCUUAUGCUAGAAAGGGAAAAUAUGCAUACGUUAAACAUGACAGGUUCUCAACAGAUGCAGGUCAAGGAUCUAAUUUGAAUUGCCUUGUUCCCACCCUCUACGAUUUCCCUCUAAGAUUCUAUCUGUCUCCUCUGAGUUUUUAAAUUUUCUACUAAAAGCCAAAUAUUCUUGCACUAUAGCAAACUGCUAUCUGGAUUUGCCUCUCUGUGGCUAUAUUCACCAGGGAUUCUUACUGGCCUUACUGUAAGAAGCUCUCCCCAGGUACCUCUAUAUGGGAGUUUAUAGGAUGGCCAGUCUGUUUAUUGGAGAAGUUCCUAAGGCGAUUGGGUAUUUCUGAGUCAGCUUCAUUCUUACAUCACCUGCUUUGGCAGUGUUUUCUUGGCUCUUCUGAAAAGGAAAAGCAACAACGGCUGGUAAGUGGUUCCCUGAUCCCACCCUGUGAGUCAGAGUCAAACAUUUGUAGGCUUAACUAGAAAGGCAGGACCUUGCUUCUGUGUAUUGAGCAGUUCUAUGAAGGAAUCCAAAUAGCCACAGCUCUCCACAUCUCAUGUAUACCUCAUUCUGUUUCUCAUUCACCCACUCAGCUUCUCAACCCAGGGUUCCUUAUGUACUCACCUGUAAGAUGCCUUUCAACAAACUGUUGUUGUUGUCCAUGAGACUCAAUCCUGUGGAGUAAUGUGUGCUUUUCAAAUGCAAAAGCAGGAAAUGAAAUUGUGUAUGAGGAAUCAUUUCAUCUGUGUAAAAAAAAAAACACCCCAGGGUUAAAAAUCAGAUUGCCCAGUCAAAAAUUGUAGUCAGCUAACUCCUGCUCCAAAUAUUGAAGAUGCUGACUAAAAUUAACAUAAUUUACUUUCAAAUAAAUAGCCAAUUUCAAGGAAAGAAAUGGAAAUUCCUGGGUGACAGAAACAAAUUCAGAGUUCAUCCUGAAGGUAAGUGGAUGUUGAAGUCACAGUGGCCCCUAAGACACCAGGCUUGCAAACAGAUGAGCCUUUGGGGAUAGGGUUAGAAUGCCCCCAGGGAGAUAGGAGACAACCUCUGGGCCUUUCAAGGUGGAAACUGAAACAAUCCCCUGGCACUUGAAAGGGCUGUUGCUAGAAAGAAAGGAUUGGAAGAAAACAAAAUAUUAAUUGUAGUUGCCUUGGGGUUGAGGUUAAGAUAGAUGUCACAGAAAAACAGUAGGAGAAAGGAGUCCUGAGCUCUUAGGGAAGGGAAAAUAGUCAGGGAGUCCUUCCCAGAGUGGGGGCUGCUGGAGCUGGCUAAGAAGAGGCCCACCCUUAGCAAUUCAACCUGCCAGGGCCAGCACCUGAGAUUUGAACCCAUUUCGCCGGGCUUAGUUCUGCUUCCUGGAAUGCUUUUGCAUACCUGUGCUGCCAGGAAUCCUGUUCAGGUUUCUAGCCAGCCAAUGCAGAUAAACUUUUUUCUUUCUCUUGCUUUUGCUCUGUGGUCCUUUGAACAAAAAUGUUUAUCCUCACAGAAAUUUCUAGGUCAGCAGAUCUAGGUUCAACUGAUCUAAACUAGGCUCAGCCAAGCAGCUCUACUUCAGGUUGAGGAUUGGCUGGGCUGAGCAACUAUGUUGAUUGGAUUCAGGUUUGUUCCAUGUGGGGGCGGCUCCUUCUGAGUCCCAUGCUGAAGUUGCAGCAGCUACCCAAGGCAUGAUCUUUUUUCUUUUUUAAUCCUCACCAAGGUUGAGAACCACUGGAAGGCAUGCUCUUGUGGAUUGCUGGAGUACAAGAGGCCAAAUGAAAUAACGUGGGCAAAAAAAAUUUUGGAGGAAUAAAUUUGGGUAUUUUCCAAAAUUGACAGACACCAUACCAUAGAUCCAAGAAACUCAACACCAAGCAGAAUAAAUUUAUACACAAAAGGCAUAUCAUGUUCAAAAUGCUUACACAGAAAAUCUUAACAGGCAACCCAGGGAAUAAAGUGGCACAUACAGAGGAUACUUAAGAAUUACCAGACACCAUUCAAGCUAGAAGACGAUGGAAUGGCUUUAAUGCUGAGAGAAAAAAACAAACCCAGAAUCCUAUGCGCAGUACAAAUAACUUUCAAAAAAGGAAAAAUAAAGCCUUUCUCAGAUAAAAACAGGAAAUAGAUUGCCAGAAGACCUAUAAGAAAUACUAAA